Molecule: ribosomal RNA, 799 nt
Filed under: uncultured bacterium
Lineage: Bacteria
Description: bacterial SSU rRNA
Rfam family: Bacterial small subunit ribosomal RNA
Source: RNAcentral
UUGCUAUAAUUGUCAGCUAAGUGGCGCACGGGUGAGUAAUGUAUAGAUAACCUGCCCUUAAGAAAGGAAUAACAGUUGGAAACGACUGCUAAUGCCCUAUAUGCCUUUAAUACAUAAGUAUGCAAGGGAAACGCUUUAGUGCUUAAGGAUGGGUCUGUAUGGUAUCAGCUUGUUGGUGAGGUAAUGGCUCACCAAGGCUAUGACGCCUAACUGGUUUGAGAGGAUGAUCAGUCACACUGGAACUGAGACACGGUCCAGACUCCUACGGGAGGCAGCAGUGGGGAAUAUUGCACAAUGGACGAAAGUCUGAUGCAGCAACGCCGCGUGGAGGAUGACACAUUUCGGUGCGUAAACUCCUUUUAUAUAGGAAGAUAAUGACGGUACUAUAUGAAUAAGCACCGGCUAACUCCGUGCCAGCAGCCGCGGUAAUACGGAGGGUGCAAGCGUUACUCGGAAUCACUGGGCGUAAAGAGCGUGUAGGCGGGUAUAUAAGUCAGAAGUGAAAUCCAAUAGCUCAACUAUUGAACUGCUUUUGAAACUGUAUACCUAGAAUGUGGGAGAGGUAGAUGGAAUUUCUGGUGUAGGGGUAAAAUCCGUAGAGAUCAGAAGGAAUACCGAUUGCGAAGGCGAUCUACUGGAACAUUAUUGACGCUGAGACGCGAAAAGCGUGGGGAGCAAACAGGAUUAGAUACCCUGGUAGUCCACGCCCUAAAACAAUGUACACUAAUUGUUGUGAGGGCGCGAAAAUUAGUAUUAUUGCAGUUAACAGAUUAAAUGUACCGCCUGUGGAAUCAUGGGU